Non-coding RNA from Danio rerio (zebrafish), 2050 nucleotides. Lineage: Eukaryota; Metazoa; Chordata; Actinopteri; Cypriniformes; Danionidae. The record is from RefSeq and is a predicted model, not a curated record.
AGAUAUCAGAGAACAAUUUACCUUAUUGAAUCAAUCCUUUAUAUGGCACUUUUAAUAAUUAUAAGUUAAUAAAACUGUGCUAUUCUAAGCAAUCCUCAGUCUGCUUUUUGAUGGUUUGCAUUUUAAAUGUCCUUCAUUGUUUGUUUCAUUGAUUUUUUUACAGGUAACAUCUUCCAGGAGUAUAAAGUCUGUUACCUAUUAGGCAGUGGAUCGAAUGGAGCUGUCUAUUAUGGAAUUCGUCUGUCGGAUUACCGAAAGGUUGGUUUCAAACAUAACAAAGUGACGUUGUGCUUUUUUCCUGCAAUGUCAUGACUGAAUCAUGUGAGCUAACUGUGGCUUUCUCUUGGUGAACAGGUGGCAAUCAAAUACGUCAAGAAGACAACUACAAUGAGUAGGAUCAAGAUUGAAGCAUUACAGCAGACCGUUCCACAAGAAGUCGGUUUGAUGUAUUUGAUGAGCAGGGGCCCUAACGUUCCUCAAAUAAUCCAGCUGCUGGAUUGGUACGAGACACCCGACAAGUACAUACUGGUGCUGGAGUGUCCCAAAUCAUGUAUGGACAUGCACCAGUUUGUAAUGCGGCAUGGGAACAAAAUCAGCGAGGCGAAAGCGCGACUGGUGAUGCACCAGGUGGUCACUGCUGCCAGAAUAUGCUGCGAAAGGGGCGUCUACCACAGCAGCAUCAAGCUGGAGAACCUGCUUAUCAACCCUCACACCUUUCAAGUCAAACUGAUAGACUUUGGCACUGGAAGACCCAUGAAAAACACUGGCUAUUCAACAUACUGGGGUAUGUAUGAUAACAGUCACGAUUUAGCCUAAGCCCUAUGGCAAAGGUGAUGAGAGUUAUUUUGUAAAUAUGGAUAUUUAGACAGCAUUGGGAUGCAAUCUCGCUCUUUCUUCCAGGCUCAAAAGCUUGUGUUCCCCCGGAGUUUUAUCGUCAUGGAAGAAAGUUCUACGCCAAGCAUGCAAUCGCGUAUUCUUUAGGAGUACUGUUGUUCAAGAUGCUGUGUGGACGAUUCCCUAAAGAAGAGCUCAACAAGAUUGUCAAAAGAACCUGGCAGCCUGAAGAGCUAUCCAACGGUGAGAGCAUGCGGAUGAUGAAACAAGAACUUUGAAAUAAUUUACACCAACCGUAAGGUUUGUGACAUAACCUGACAUCUGUUCCUUCUUUCUUCACAGAAUCCAUAGAUCUGAUCUGUUCCUGUCUGCAAAGUGAUCCAGACAAGCGGAUGCCUUUUGAUGAGAUCCUUCUUCAUAAAUGGUUCCAGGUCUUGAUCCUGAAGCCAAGCGGAAAGAAGAAACAAUUGAGUGGAUUAAAAAGGUUUAGACUGAAAUUAAGAUAACAGCACAGCUGAAGAAGAUCCUGGGACAUGAAGAAGAUUACACCAAGCUCCUUCUCUUCAUCCAGCUACUAACACCAAACUCCUCCUCUUCAUCGAGCAACCUAACACCAAACUCCUCCUCUUCAUCGAGCAACCUAACACCAAGCUCCUCCUCUUCACCAAGGCAUUAACACCAAGCUCCUCUUCUUUAUUCAGCUACAAAAAUUCAUCGAGCCACAAACAUGGGGCAGUUUGUGGCUUGACGAAUAGAAAGAGCUGAAUGGGGCUGGUGUUUGUGCUUGCGUGAAAAGGAGGAGCUAAUUGGGGCUGGUGUUUGUUGUUGCACGACAAGGAGGAGCUAAUUGAGGCUGGUGUUUAUGGUUGCACGAAAAAGAGCUGAAUGGAGCCGGUGUUCGUGUCUAGAUGGAGAGAAGGAGGGGCGGCACGGUGGCUCAGUGGUUAGCACUGUUGCCUCACAGCAAGAAGGUCGCUGGAUCCAGUCCCGGCUGGGCCAGUUGGCUUUUCUGUGUGGAGUUUGCUUAUUCUCCCCGUGUUCGCGUGGGUUUCCUCCGGGUGCUCCGGUUUCCCCCACAGUCCAAAGACAUGUCCUAUAGGAUUGUGUAUAUAUGUUUGAUGUUUGAUGAAUAAAAAUGAGCACAUUUGAAAUAUAAAGUGUUUUUCAUUUCACUCAAUAUGAACUUCAUGCACUCCUACAGUUAAAGUGUUGAACU